RNAcentral lists this unclassified non-coding RNA (225 nucleotides) under unidentified. RNAcentral describes it as "sgRNA from unidentified (PDB 7L48, chain E)". The record is from RNAcentral.
GGGCUUCACUGAUAAAGUGGAGAACCGCUUCACCAAAAGCUGUCCCUUAGGGGAUUAGAACUUGAGUGAAGGUGGGCUGCUUGCAUCAGCCUAAUGUCGAGAAGUGCUUUCUUCGGAAAGUAACCCUCGAAACAAAUUCAUUUUUCCUCUCCAAUUCUGCACAAGAAAGUUGCAGAACCCGAAUAGACGAAUGAAGGAAUGCAACAGUUGACCCAACGUCGCCGG